CAGUAAAAAAAGAAACUCCCGGUCCUCUUUAUUUCUUUUUCUUUCCUUUUCGUCUUCUUUCUUCUUCUUUCUGUUCUUCGUUUCUUCUUCCGGUUUGAGCGAGACAAAGAGAGUUGAGAGCAGAGGGAGAGAGAGACUGAUCGAGUGAGAGAUUGAGAGGUAACAGAGAGAGAGACCCGAGAGAUCGUGAGAUCGGGAGGGUAAACCGGGAUCGGAAACCCAAUCCAGCCGGAGGUCCGAUCCUCCAUGGCUCGCUGGUGGGUGAUUUGGAGCGUGAUUUUCGGCGUUCCCAAUAGUGAUUUCCAGCAAACCCGUGCAUUGAAACCCAUCAACCCGAGAGGAUUCGACGAACCCGUGAGACCCGAUCCUCCGAUGGGUCAGAGCCGGCGAUUCCAAGGGAGUCUUCCGGCGGCCUGAGAUGCUUUUCCAGUGGUUUUUAAGCUCAAAAGCUAUAGCCAAAGGGGGAGUUUGUUGGUUUUAUUGGCUACAUUCUCAUAGACAAAAACACUUCCUUUUCUGGACACUGACGUUUUAGGGACACCGUAAUUCAGAGUCUAUUUCAGAUAUUAUUGCAGAAUAUUUAUGCCAACAUGGAAAGAAUUGUACAAGGCAAGAUCUACAAUAUAUUGCUCAAGAAAUUAAAGAUUUUGAAGACAAGGAAGAUUCUAGCAACUUUACAAAUUUCAAAGUCGAUUUUCCCUUGUGACCGUCUAGACAGCCCCAAGGAAGCAUCUGGAUGCCAGACAGUGUUUUCAUUCUGUUCGAACAGCGUAUCAGAUGCAAACCACAGGGACUUGGUGCUCGCACAACCUUCCAAACGCCCAGUGACGCGACCCACAGAGAGCACAUGUUCGCACAAGUGUCAGGACACAAAUGCGAUAGCUGCGAAUAGUGGAGGUGUUCUACACAACUAUUCGGAUGCUAGGGCAAGCCAUCCGAACGCACUUCAGUAACUUAUGAUGGAUUGAUGCUUACCGUCCGAACGCCCAAUGUCUUGUCUAUACGCCACCUAUGCAAAUUCGGGUUGGAGUAGAAUUAUGAUUUUUGUAGCCUAUUUAAAGAGGCUUAUAUGCUGUGUAUUUGUAAGAAUUUAGUAUUGAAUUUCAGUGUGCCAAGGGAGGCUGUUUAGAUAGAUAUUGUUAGAUGUGCUAACUCUCUUAGAGCAUUUGUGUGAUUUGAUCAACCAUUUGAAGUCUAAUUUAGAUAGGAGCUCUAAGCUAAAGGAAUCAAUGGAAGAACUCUUCAGACAGGAGGUCUGGUUGAGAGGUGUUCAUGUAUAGGUACGUGCUAGAGUUAAAGGUAAGGCUAUUGCAUUGGGUUAUGUGAGUACAACUACUUUGUAACUAGCUUUUUCUUCUGAAUAGUGGAUUGCCUAGGUUUGGCUA
Long non-coding RNA from Alnus glutinosa, 1385 nucleotides. RefSeq lists it as uncharacterized. The record is from RefSeq and is a predicted model, not a curated record. The transcript has 2 exons. Lineage: Eukaryota; Viridiplantae; Streptophyta; Magnoliopsida; Fagales; Betulaceae.